Molecule: ribosomal RNA, 504 nt
Filed under: uncultured Diversispora
Lineage: Eukaryota; Fungi; Glomeromycota; Glomeromycetes; Diversisporales; Diversisporaceae
Description: SSU rRNA
Rfam family: Eukaryotic small subunit ribosomal RNA
Source: RNAcentral
AGCAGCCGCGGUAAUUCCAGCUCCAAUAGCGUAUAUUAAAGUUGUUGCAGUUAAAAAGCUCGUAGUUGAACUUCGGGGUCUACCCAUUGGUCAGGCUUAAUUGUCUGCACUGGUGAGAUGGAUCUCUACCUUCUGAGGAACUUCCAUGCCAUUUAUUUAGUGUGAUUGGAAAUCAGGACUGUUACUUUGAAAAAAUUAGAGUGUUUAAAGCAGACUAUCGUCUGAAUACAUUAGCAUGGAAUAAUGAAAUAGGACGGACUGAUUCUAUUUCGUUGGUUCUAGGAUUACCGUAAUGAUUAAUAGGGAUAGUUGGGGGCAUUAGUAUUCAAUUGUCAGAGGUGAAAUUCUUGGAUUUAUUGAAGACUUAACUACUGCGAAAGCAUUUGCCAAGGAUGUUUUCAUUAAUCAAGAACGAAAGUUAGGGGGAUCGAAGACGAUCAGAUACCGUCGUAGUCUUAACCAUAAACUAUGCCGACUAGGGAUCGGACGAAGUUAAUUUUAUAA